GACGAACGCUGGCGGCGUGCUUAACACAUGCAAGUCGAACGGUAAGGCCCUUUCGUGGGGACACGCUCGGCGAACGGGUGGGUAAGACGCGCGUGAUUUGCCCUGCACUUUCUGAUAAACCAGUGAAACUGGGUGUAAUACCUGCUAGGACUACGCGACGGCUGCCUGGUGGUGGAAAGCUUGUGUGGGCGGGGAUGGGCGCGCGGCCUAUCAGCUUGUUGGUGGGGGGGUGGCCUACCAAGGCGACGACGGGUAGCCGGCCUGAGAGGGUGUCCGGCCACACUGGGACUGAGAUACGGACCAGACUCCUACGGGAGGCAGCAGUGGGGAAUAUUGCACAAUGGGCGAAAGCCUGAUGCAGCAACGCCGCGUGCGGGAUGACGGCCUUCGGGUUGUAAACCGCUUUCAGCAGAGACGAAGCGUAAGUGACGGUAUGUGCAGAAGAAGCACCGGCCAACUACGUG
This 464-nucleotide ribosomal RNA is filed under the name uncultured bacterium. RNAcentral's name for it is "partial 16S ribosomal RNA". It matches the Rfam family "Bacterial small subunit ribosomal RNA", at positions 28 to 507 of the family's 1533-position model. The record is from RNAcentral.